UACGGAGGAUGCAAGCGUUAUCCGGAAUGAUUGGGCGUAAAGCGUCCGCAGGCGGCUAUGUAAGUCUGCUGUUAAAGAGUGAGGCUCAACCUCAUAAGAGCAGUGGAAACUACAUGGCUAGAGUGCGUUCGGGGCAGAGGGAAUUCCGGGUGUAGCGGUGGAAUGCGUAGAGAUCCGGAAGAACACCGGUGGCGAAGGCGGCCCGCUGGGCAGUGACUGACGCUGAGGCGCGACAGCGUGGGGAGCAAACAGG
RNAcentral lists this ribosomal RNA (253 nucleotides) under uncultured bacterium. RNAcentral's name for it is "partial 16S ribosomal RNA". It matches the Rfam family "Bacterial small subunit ribosomal RNA", at positions 524 to 776 of the family's 1533-position model. The record is from RNAcentral.